This 253-nucleotide ribosomal RNA is filed under the name uncultured bacterium. RNAcentral's name for it is "partial 16S ribosomal RNA". It matches the Rfam family "Bacterial small subunit ribosomal RNA", at positions 524 to 776 of the family's 1533-position model. The record is from RNAcentral.
UACGGAGGGUGCGAGCGUUAAUCGGAAUUACUGGGCGUAAAGGGUGCGUAGGUGGUGAAAUAAGUUUUGUGUAAAAUUCCUGGGCUUAACCUGGGGUGGUCAUAGGAUACUGUUUCACUCGAGUGCGUGAGAGGGUAGUGGAAUUUCCGGUGUAGCGGUGAAAUGCGUAGAGAUCGGAAGGAACACCAGUGGCGAAGGCGGCUACCUGGCAUGACACUGACACUGAGGCACGAAAGCGUGGGGAGCAAACAGG